This is a long non-coding RNA of Amphibalanus amphitrite, 618 nucleotides long. RefSeq lists it as uncharacterized. Lineage: Eukaryota; Metazoa; Arthropoda; Thecostraca; Balanomorpha; Balanidae. The transcript is spliced from 2 exons. The record is from RefSeq and is a predicted model, not a curated record.
UGGUAUUUUAAGUUUGUAUGAAAACGCGUAAGAUUUGGGUGAUUGAAACUAAACAUGGAAGAUAAUUUUUAGGUCAAUUUUUACUUUUUCUUUUUUAAUGCUGUUCUUGAUAUUCCACUUCACUCAAAACACACCAGUUCAUAAGUUAUUUCAGGGCUUUCACAAUAGCCAUGUCUUUGUGGUCAAUCAUCCUCAGAGCAGCCUGAGUCAAUUCCAUUCAUGACUUCCUUAGCCAUAUAUCUCUGAUCCUUUUUCAGGACAAGACAUGCACUACUACAUAUGCUGUGCCUGGCUCAAGAUUCCUAUAUGUAGCAAGGUUGCCCUACCGACACUGGCAAAAUGAAUGCUUCCUUGAACAAAGCUAACCAAAGGUGCCAUCAACUGUCUUAAUCUGAACAGGAAGGAAGCCUAGUUUUCAACAAAGACAAUGUGACUUUCAGGGUGUGCACCACCCGGUGUUCAUUUGUUAACAUCAAUAAUGUGUGACCACAAAAGGAAACCCUUCUGAAGAUCGAAGAUCUUGCUCGCAGCUAUGCCUCAUUGCCUACCAUGGCCAAAACCUCUUUGAGGUUUACUGUAGGUAGUGUUCUCCGUCUGAUUGUUAUGUGUUGAGGAUGA